CUUAAGUUAAAAAAAAUAAAAGGAGGGAAUUGGCAGCAGAUGCUAGCUCAGGGAGAAUCUUCUGCAGCAAAAAAAAACUUGGUUUCCUUAGCCAUGUAAGGUUCUGAUAAACUUUCUAACUUCAGGCAUUCCUAUAAAACAAAUGUAACCACAAUAAUAAACUUCAACAAUAAACACAGGGCAAAUUAAGCUGCGUCUUUCCAUGAGUUUCUAGACUAGUAUUUAUUCUCUUAGUCAUUUAUUAGUAUUUAUUUCUUAGUCAUCAUACCGAUAAGUUAGAAGUUGAGAUAUAGAGGAAAAUGCCCAGUCUCUCUUUCUUGCUUUGUAUUUUGAAUGAAAUAAGGAAUAGGUAAAAAAAUAAAAUGGAGAUGAAAGUAAAAGCCUUAUUGUUGGUUGUCAGGACCUACUUUCUCCCAUAAAGUAGGACUCUGGUAAACUGUAUGAUACAGUGAGGCUUCCACCCCAAAUCCAGGUGGCCUAUUAGCUGCUUUGGAACAGAUUUGUGGGCCAGCCCAGCUUUUCAGGCCAGGUUUAACCUGACGCACCCAACCGGCCUCAGGAAACUUGGAAGGCAGAGAGAAUGGUGUUCUUUCUUUUUUCACAACAGGAGGUCCUGCCCAGGUGCGCCUAAAAGGUAAAGAAAAAUAAUGAGUGGCCUGUUAGACCUGAACACAGGCAGGUCAAACUGCUUUCUGUACCUGAUCCUAGCUACGCGUGAGCAGUGGCCUUUAACACAUGAAUGCCGUCUACCAAUAGAAUCUGAUUUGGUGACUGUCAGACUCUUUCCAAUCAGAUUAGCUGCUAAUCCUUUCUUGGGGAGGAACAUGCUUCUUUUUACACUCAUGGAGUGAGCAUGGAAACAAGUCUAGAUUUUCAUCUCUCAGAUGAAACUUGCACUUUGUUGGGGUGCACGAGCAUGUGCAGACCUUGUAAGUGUAUGUAGCUAGUAGGCUCUCCACCCCAAUAUUAAUUCUCAUGCAACACUAUCCUAAGAGUGAGGGUUCCAGAUGUCAUUUACUUCCAAUUUAUCUCCUUGGUGUUGAUGGAGCUCAGUCUUCUCGUAUUGUUUCUGAAAUAAAGUUGGACAACAAGCCGAAGGCGAAACAAACUGAAAUUCUGUGAGCUAAAUACGAAAUCACUAAAUGAAUUUUGAUUCUUUAUAUUGGAUUUAGGACGUCCUUAUCUGUCUCUGUUUUCAAACAAUUUGUAUACAAAAAUGUCUAGCUCUUAUAGCUCUUUCACUGAAGCUCAUUAAUAUAGGACAGUAGCUUCUAAAAGAUUCCCUCGACUCAGACUUCUUUUUCUUAUUGUAUUGAAAACCAAAGACAUGUAUAUUAUAGAAUCUUAAAGCUCUAAGUGAUAUCAGUUAUCUGGUCGAUCCACUUAUUUUAAAGGAUUAAUCAACUGAUGCCUACAGCUUGUGGGUGACUCGUAAGCCCAGUGUCAUGUGGCUGGUUGGUUGUAGGGCAAAUCCUGGGAUGUGGGUUAUUUGUCCCUUUUAAUUAGGAUUUAUUCAAAUAUUCAAAUAAAGGAGAGCGGUGAUACCCUUAGAAAUAUAGAGCUGUAAGGUAAGAUCAUCCCCAUAUCUUGGCUCUCAGGCCAUUAUCUUCUCUACAAGUGUAGAUUUCUGGCAGAGAUUAUCUCAGAGGGAGGACACCCAUGUGGCCAGGGCCUCACUUUACAGAAGGCCUAGGAUCUUAAAUUUAAUUUUCACCUUAAUUUUCUUUGGGUAGCACAAGAAUGUUGCCUGACAUUUUUAGGUCAAAAGUGUUAAUUUGUUAUAUAUUUAAUUUGUCCACCUUUAUUUUGGCAUUUUUUUUCAGUUUUUCUUAUCCCAGUUAUCUCAAAUACGGGCAUAGCUGGAGUCUCUGGGGAGCCCUGAGUGGUUCUGUCCAUGGCUGUUGGCCACGUAGCCCACAUGACCAGGCGCGUGUUGCUCACUGGGGGAGAGCAAGUUGUGCUGUUUGAGUGCCCUCACUAUCAGAAAUUCCAGCUGUUCAAACCCUAGCUUUCUGAAUCAUAAGAGGCUUUCAGAAUCACUCAGGACUCAAGAAUAACUGAACAAAAGCUAGAAACCAUUACCUUGGCAGUGAAACAGCAGAAAUGGAAACAGCAGAGAAGAGCACAGGUUGUGAAGGUUAGAGGAGGUUCGCUGGAUGCUGGAUGUUGCACAGAUUGGCUGUCUGUGUUUUCAAAGGACCUGUGAAACCUGAGAAGCAUUCAGGGAUGGGGUGAGGCAGAAGCUACCGAGAAAAGAAAAGCAGAGGGGAAAAAGGGAAGAGAGUGUGUGAGGAAGAGCAGCAGUGGUGGAGAAAGAACCAGUGGGAGGGAUAGCAAAGAGUGGGCUCUCUGAGGAGAUGAACUCCGAACACCAGAAAAUUAGCCAUUUAUUCCCCAGGACUCUGUAAAGGAAUACCAUGUGUCUACAAUGGGAUAUAUGGAGGGGGGAGGGGAGCGGGGGAUGGAGAAAGAGAUUCACCCGAACUUAAUCUCUAAGGUCAAUCAAAAGCCAUGGCAACCAUAGGAAUUCUGCACAUUACACAAGGUGAACUUGACUGAGGCAUUGUAAGUUGUGUUUUGAUACCAUUGUAAUGUAUCAAUCAGGCUAAAUUGAUUGGAAAAAAAAGAUCCUCUUAAGUUACCUGGGCGGGGUUGGGGGGGGCGGUGAGGAAAGAGGCAGUGUAUUUUAAAGAAAAAUGCAGAGUGGAAGUGGAUCUUUAAAGUCCUUGGGGCUCAGGGCAUCUUUCCUCCUCAAUGUGUUUCUCCUCCUCAGGCCUGGCCUUUUCUCCUCCCCUCUCCUCCUCCUCCUUUUCUUCUCCAGCCUCUGUCCCACUACCUCCCUCCGCUGUUCUGUUGCCUCCUUCUCUUUUUCUUCCCCCUUUCCCUUCUUCUCUCUUGGCAGUUCUGCCUCUCUCUCUGCACAUCUAAUUCAUUCUGUUUACCACCAGGUGACUUCCUCCCCCUCCUCUCCGUAUCUUUACUGGUCCCUCCAAACUUUGGAUUACACGUGGCAUUGUUCCACCAUUAGCUCACUGCUGACUGGCACAAUUUCUUGGUGUUUCCCUUUAUUCAUUUUGAAAACAAAGAAUCCCAAUGGCUUAGCUCACCCUUUCAGAUCUACCCACAGGCUGUGUCAUGUGCUAGACUUUGAAUCAGCUGUCCAUGCCUCUGGUGCUGAUUUUUGGGCCACUCAUCUAGGGGCAGGGUCAGGGCAGGGUCACAGUGGUGUGAAAUGUGGAUGCUUAGGCAAAGGAGACUGUGAUUGGGAUGAGGAGUUAGGAGAGAUCCUUUGACAUCUCUGUUGCAGGCUUCAGCUCAAAAGUGUUGUAAGAUGAUGAACAUAAAUGCAGUAGAACAGAGCUGUGCUAUAGUGUUAUAGAAUACAGUGUGGGACAACACAGAUUCCAUACUUCAUCUAUCAGAGACAAGCCCAGACGCAUAAGGAAGUUGUGUUAGCUGUAAAAGAGCAAACAAUCGUUGGACUUGAGAGGUUGAUGAAUCACUAUAACAUUCGUUCAUCUCGCUUAUAUGAUAUCAAAUCUUAGAAAGGCAGCUGUUCACAUUUUUUGGUGCCUGGUAAAUCAUCUCAAGCUGCUGCUGAUUCAAUAUCAUGCAUAUGACAAAAUUAGGCAAGUCAACUGUGUGUUACACGAGUGGCUCAUUUCGCCUGAUGUUCUAUUAAAUUUUCAGCUGCAUCUCCAUCUCAGACACGUAACAUUAACUGAUGUUCAUAAUGAUAACCCUGAGUCAUUAAGGAAAUGUUGUAUUAUGUCUGGUACAGUACACUUGAGACAUAAAGAGAUACAAUGGAGAAAGAACUAAGGCUUACUGCAUACCUGCUGAAUUACAGACACAGAGAGAGGUGAGCUGCUUACGCUGUUGCCCCAAAACAGCAGAAUCCUGGGAUGCAGGUACAGUUUUCCCUAUUUCACAGCCAAGAAAACGUGUUCAGAUAGAUCAAAUUGUCCCAAGUCGGGUGAGGAAUCCAAAUCUGUCUUACUCCAGAACUUGUGCUCUCCCCCUUAUGCACCACAAAUUUGUUCAAUUUUUUUAAUAAGAAAUUUUCAAGUUGGAAUUUAAGUGUGUUACUCUUAGCUAGCUGCCGUCAGCUAGUCGAUGAAUCAGACCCGAAAUACCCACAAAAGAAAGAAGAGAACUAACGUUUGGGGACAUGACCAUGCACGAUGAUUUAUUACUCUGUGAGCUAUGUACUAUUAUCCCUGAGUUAUGAGUUGAGGAAAUUGAAGUUCAUUGAGGCAAAAUGCCUUGCCCAAGGCAGCACAUUUAGAAAGCUAUGGCUUUAGUCUCCUUUACUGGCUUCUCUUUCUCAAUCCACUACUUAAAUGUUAGGUUUUUUUAAUUCUGACCUCAGCUCUUUUUUCUUCUCCUUCAAUAUACUUUUUUGGGGCAGUUUUAGAUGUAAAAAGUUGGAAACAUAUAACUGUAGACCCCACCUCUCUCAAGUUCCCUACCUAACUUAAUACUUCCUCCUUCAAAUCCUAUGGGACACUCAAACUCACAAUAUGUAAUUCAUUAUUUUCAAGUCUCCAGAUGUGUCUCCCACCCCACAUUCCUUGUAUCAGUGAAUGGUCCCAGUUUACCAAGCAAGAAGUCUAUGCAUCUUCCUGCUUGAGUCAACAAAUGCUGAGUGACUACCCACUGUUAUCUUUGAUAUUCAUCUCCCCUUUUCCUAUGCCAUUUCUUUAGUUUAGGCCAAUCCUAAAUGGCUGCAGUAGUCUUAUGAGUUUGUCUUUCUCAGUGCCAUUAGAGUGAUCUUUCUGUUGAAGAAUUUUGAUCAUCUUGCUUUUUGCUGACAGUUCUUCACUGGCUCCCUGUAGCCCAAAGGAUAGCAUCCAUACGUCUUUGCAUAGUACACAUGAUCCUUCAUAACCUGGUCUCUGUUUGUGUUUCUCAUCUUACCACCUGCCACUCACUCCAGCCUUCAUGAUGGUGUAAUAAUUUUCAGAUAUUUAUGGUUCUCUGGACAUAACAAAUAUUGUUGCAGUUUUCCAACUUUUCCUUUGUUAUUCCCUUCACCUUCUGGUUCACUUUGCUAUUCAGUAAGCUCUCUUUCAAAUGCUAUUUGAUUUUUAAGCCAUUCCGUUUCUUUUCAGGACUGCUACUACUCUUCAUUACACUUCCAAAAAGCGGAUAUCUUAGUGUAGUGUAAUUACAUAUGGACCUUGCAUCCUUGCCUGAUAAUAGUGAACUGAGAUGCAGUAUGGACUGGGGUGGUCCUACUGUUCUUUGUGGCAGGCAUGCUUUCUGAUUGAUCAGGCAUCUGUUCUGAAUGGUUGGUGGUCAUGCCAGAGAGUUGUUAAAUAUUUUAAAUGUCAACUCCAACUUACCGCCAAGCAGUAUGUGGCAUAAAGAGGGUGAUCAGUAAUACCUGUUGAUUCUUGAAUUAUGAAUAGUUGAAUGCCUGACUUACGGCUAGCUGCAAAGCCCCAUCUCACCCCCUUCCUCUCACUAUCUCUGGUUGUACUGCACCGAACCAAACGGGUCCUUCUAACAUAUCCACCUGAGCUGGUUCUGUACUUUAGCAAAACAAAGAACAAAUGUAUCUCAUGUCAAGCUCUCACUUAUUUGGAGAAAGUUUGCGUGUCUUGUGGAGGCUUCAUUCUUAACAAACUAAUAUACUCAUUUCCCUCAGUUAUUUCUCAAAAAAUUUUAAGACCUCAUACUGACCAUAGAUUGUCCUCUAAUUAUCCGAAUUUCCACUUACAGCACAGGAAUGAGAACUAAGAAUAGUAAAUCAUUGCAGGAUGAAGUAAGAUGAUUGGUUCCCGUGAGUUGGAAGGGCACUGGCUGAUAUUGAUGCAGGCUUGAGGACUCCGGCUCCCUUCACAACUGUAUCACAUUGACUUGUGAUCGCUUAAAGCCUGGGGUUGUAUUUUAUUUUUUUCAUAUGAACAGCUGUCAGAUCAGGUGAUUUUACUCCCAUGCUUAUACAAUUGAGUCUUAAAAUCCAAAAUGCACCACUUUAAUUGUGUCCCUGCCCAUUUUAAUAAAUAAAUUGAUACUUCUGAUGAUCUCAUCCUGCAUACACCUGUGCUCUCCCUCCUGGUUUGACAUUAUCUGCAGUUUGACAAGUGUGUUUUCUAUAUCUUUCUUACAAAUCACUGAUGAAAAUACAAAUAGCUAAGUAAAACACAGAGCCCUAUGUUACAGCACUUUUUCUCCAACUUCAGAUGAUUUAUUAAUUAAUAUUGUUUGCGUACAAAAUGUUUGAGUAGAUUCCUGACUCUUGGGGUGUUUUUUAUUUCUCCCUGUCUCAUUCCUCUACCUUGGCAACAAGAUAUAAUUAGAGACUUAAUUCAAUGCCUUGUGUAGAAUAGAGAGUACCAGGUCUGCAAGUUUACUUAAUCUCUCAGUUUACCUGCCCUUAUUGGAUAAGCAUCGUCGUCGUCGUCGUCAUCAUCAUCAUUCAUCUUUUGCAAUCGAUUUACAUAUGUAAACCCCAGUCUUAGUUGUUAUCUGGGCCCCAGUGCUACAUCUCAGAGUGAUUUUUCACUUAGAUUAACCUUCAAUUCCAUGACCUGGAAGGUGCAAGUUCUCUCCAGCUUCCUCUUGAGUCCCAGAGGAGCCCACUCCUAUGGCCUCCUCUGCCUGUCUCCUCUCAGCUACCUUAAUAAACUCAGAUGCAAACUAAUUUCAACAAGAUAUACUCUUAUUAUUCUGAGAUUUCUGUCAUUGCCACAAAGUUUCCUUAUGGGUCAGAAAUAAAUUUAUGGUAGACAUUUCUUUUCCUGCUGCCUCUACAUAUCAAUCAUUUUUCUGCAAAGAAAGUGAAAAUGUAUUGAAUGGGAAACUUUGAAACAUCACACAAUUCUGUUUCUGUGUUGUGGGCAUAUUUCAUGUCUUUGAAUGGCUACUUUUGUUCAUUCCCGUGUUAGGAACAAUGAACUGUUAUUAUAACUGGUGUAAAGCAAGAGUUUCCAAGAUACAGUUAAUUGGUAAUUUUAGAGAAUUGAGAAAAAGAGAGGUUAAAUUGAUCUUCACUUGGGUACCAUCCUUUCUUUGCCCUGAGAAAUGAAGAACUUUAGCGUAUCAGGAGGCUGAUACUACUUUUCUUGAUAUGGCCUUAGUUAUGAUAAAUAAGGCUUUAUUUUAGUGGGUUGUUAAAUUUUAGGAAAGUAAAACUGUAUAGAAUAGUGUUUGUAGAAGCAUAGCCUCACGUUUAUCGUCUGGAAAUGUAAAAAGGUGGUAGGUAAUUUAAAUACUGAAGGACGCAGUUUAUCAAAUGGUAAGUUAGGUGCAAAAAUGACCUUGUGAAAAGAUGACUCUGUUAAUGGAAGCCUUUUAGUAAAGCCACUACACCCAUGUGGAAAUAGAUCAAACUACACAAAACUACCUUACUUGGGACGAGAUGGAUUUGAUAGUGGACAUGAGUGGCCCUUAGGAAUGGAAGCUUUUGUGUUUGUACUGCCUCUGUGCAUCAGUUGGUCUUACCCAACAUAACCAAAGUAAAAAAGGCCACUAAAAAUGUUUCAUUUUAUUUUGCCUUUAAACAGGAAUUCCUACGUCUAGUGUAAGAUAGAUGCUUCAACUACUUCAAUCUAUAUAUUGUUGAUAUUAAUAUAUUGCCUUGCUAUUUUCAUUUUAAAUGUCAUUCUAAAGAGUAUAACCUCUGUAAUAUUGAUAUUGAAACAUCGCUAUUUCCAGUCAUGCAAUUAAUCCUAAUUAAACAUUAGUACAAAACCUGGCAGAUCAGGAAGUUUUUAGUUCCAUCUUGAAUAUUAUGAUUGCAGAAUUAAUUUAACAAGCCUGUUUGGGGAUAAUACAUUCCAAGAAGAGAUUUAAAGAAGCAUCAAUUUAUUCAAAGGGGUUAUAUCUGCUUCAUAUGCAUUCUUCAGUGGUAUUCAGGAAACAGCUGUCAGAUAAAUUAUAAAAAUACAUGAUAAACAAAACCAACUCAUCUUUUUAAUUGAUUUUAAUCUGGCUUCAUCUAGGCAGCAUAAUGCUCUUCACUCACUGAUAGUAGGGUGAAUAAUACGUGUGCAAUUACUUUGCAAUUCACCACGACUUAAAAAUACGCAGAACCUUCAUCUAUUACUAAUAUGGUCUAAUGUCCAUAGUGGCAAAUUAUUGGUGGGAGCUAUUGAAGAUCAACUGAUAGUCAUACUGCUUUGUUCAAAUUUAAUUUCAAGAAACAAAGGAAGAUACUUGAUGACUGGUAGUAAUAGCAAUGACUUAUGGGAAAUUGCAACUGAAUAAUUUAUUGAUUGAUUGUGACUGAAAGUCAUUAUCCUCUGAUGGCUGUUCGAACAGCUAAUGUGAAACAAUGCAACUGAUGUCUAUCAUGAAACCUCUGCCAUAUUAGCUCUUUCCUAAUUGUUGCUUUUAUUCCUUGCAGCUGAAAAUGGAACAUAAAUGGAAGAGUCAUGACUGUAAACUUGGUUUUUUGCUGAUGGAGGAAGUGCUUUUCAGUUUUCAAUGCCUGCAAAUUAAGAAGGAAAAGAUUUUAUUUAGUUACCGAAGAGAUAUUCAAUAUUAAAUAAUGAGGAAUAUCAAGGUUCCUUGGUCUGACGAUGUGCUUUGUGAUAUUCAACAUCAGAGAUUUGGUCCAUAAUGGAAGUUUAUCAAAAUGUCAACAUAUCAGGGUGCAAUGGCAGGUUAGUUUUGUAUUCCUGUCAUCUUGAAAUUGAUCAAAUGUUUAUUGCCUGCCUGUCUUGUGUGUAGAACUUGACCAUUAUCAUAAGCAUAAUAUAGGAGACUCAACUAUUAGGUCUAAUUGGCUGUUUCUCAGGUUGCCCUCCUCACAUCCUUGCAGUUUUCAGCCUUACUUUAAUGAUUUCUCACAAUGCACAAGUACAUCUUGAAUAUGACACUUCUGCAAAAGGGUUUUAUAGGGAGUAUAUGGGGGAAGAGUGUGUGAUUAAAUAGUUAAUAGGCUUUUCACUCAGUGAACAUGUCCAUGAACCUGAUAUGCAUUUGUUUUGACAUCUCAGAAAUGACGUGCUAAAUGACUUCUCUUGGUUGUUGAUUAGCAAGACUCCAUCUAAAAUUUUCCAUCAGAUUUUUCUCCCCCUCAUUUGGAUGUAAGCCUAACUAGCUGCUGAACUGGAGAUGAGAAGGAGAGAAUGGGUUGGUGGGGGCAACCUGGUUUGACCUGUUGUUGGGGUGAGUACUGUAAAUCCUAAUCCAUCUGGGCUCAAAUGACCAGCAAUUCUAUUUUUUUGGAAAUCAGUAGUCAUGAAAUGAAUCAUAAUAUGUAUAUAUUUAUGAAUAAUUACUGGAGGGGCAAAUUACUAUUUUAUACUCUUAAAAAUCCAAAAAAUGGGAAAAUUGCUAGGAAAAUUUAUCCACUCCUUUUAUGAGAAAUGUUUGGAUUCCUAUCAAGAAUGUAAGGUUCUGAGAUUUUUGUCCUACUUUCAGGCCAACAAUUUAGCCUGCAACAGUUUCAUGGCACUUGCCAGCAAGAGACAUGACUCUCCUGGAUCAGAGACAAAGAGUUUAUUACUCACAACACAGUCAGCAACAGGAAAGUUAUUAUCCUUCCAGGUGCUUUGGGGAUGAUGUGAAUAGGUCCAGUGUACAUAGUUGAUUUGUGUUACAUCUGAGGAAACUUGAGUUUAGGGAACCUGAAUCUUUUAUAAUGGAUACUAAGCAAAUCUGCCUCCACUUUUUCUGGAGAGAGCCAUUGUCUUGACUAUACUGGGCAGUAAGGAAACUUGCCUUCUGUUCUCGUGGGAGACACUUAAGUGCAUCUUCUCAAGCCAUUUGCUCUGCUCUCAAUAUGUACAGAAAUGAGAGAGACCUGUAGAGAUCUAGCUCCUCAUGUACUUGCUAUGCACUAGUGAUUGUGCAAUCUUAUGGCAAGAUGAUGACCAGGACUGAUAAGGCUCUUGAUAAGCUUGCAUAAGGUAUAUGUUUCUGACUCAGAUAAAAUAAAAAGAAUAUAUGGUAUGGAAAACAACACCAGUGGAGAUGAAUGUGAGCCAGUUUUACCAAUAAAAUUUUCUAAAUAGUGUAACUAAGGCAAGAAUAUCUUUAACUCCAGGUUGAAUUAGUAUGUACUGCCAUACAUCAAAUUUAAGAGUGCUCUUAAUCUUUGACUAUACAUGGAAUAUAUAUUUUGAUCUCAUAUUGUUAGUUUAACAUGUAUAUCAUACAUAUACAAAUUAAGAUUGCUUUUGGAAUUGUUUUCUACCUUUCAAACAAUGUAAAAUUUUUUUUUAAAUUCCUGCUACAAAUGGUUGUGAUUUUCCUUUAACAGUCUGUGUUAAAACUAAAAGUGCUGAAAUUCAAAUUGUUAUAAGAAAGGAUCAUUGUCAAAUAUUUUUUGAAUUUUAUAGUAAUAAUUUUGUCUGUAUAAAAUUUCCCUUGAUCUUAUUUUUUCUGAAUUAUUUUAAAAAAGUUUGUUUGGCCUCCCAUACCUUUGCAUAAACCUUCAGUGACUUUGGUAAAUUAUAUCCUAGUGAAAUUAUCCACCUUAAUUAUCACCACUUUCCAACCACAGAUUAAAAAGCUUACCUGCACCUAAAAUAUCUCCAUUACCACAUUCCUUUAACCUCAUCAGACUUUUAUCAUCUCUCAGGAACUGUCUGUGUUAAAUGAGGUUUUAUAGUCAAAUUUGAUACAUGCCCUUUGGUAGGUUAUUCUGGAAAUUUUUAUUGUAUUUUAUGGUAAGAUUUUAUAUCAAACUGUAAUAACUUCUCAUUUACUCAAAAUUUUUGGAUAAUAUAGUAUUCAGGUUAAAUAAAUGUCCUGGUGGGCUGAAAAUUGUUGACACGUAUAGCACAACAUUUGCAAUACAUUCAUAACAAAUUUUAAAAGGACUCAAAGAAAAUUAAGUACAUUUCCUCUUCCAUUGCUUCUAGUCUCUUAUUAUGAAGAAUGGUAAUUUCUAAAUAGUUUUGAAGAUUUAAAGUAUUUGACAAAAUCUGCACCCACCCAGUAUUCUAUUUACUAUUAGCUCUUUUUUCCUAUGAGUAUGGUUACUGUCAUGUUUUACUUUGAAAUGCCUGAAUACAAAAUUCAUGGGAAAAAAUACUGGUUACUUCUAUUUUGUGUUUAUUAGGGUUUUGCAUGAAUAGGACUUUUAGUGAACCAGAUUUUCCUGUAUAUAUUUUAAGAUAAAUUUGUUGCAAGUAUUUAAAAUUAAUAGAAAUGUAUAAUGUCAUAGAACUAGAAGAGACUUUAGCAAUGAUCUAGCCCAACAUCUUCAUUUUACAAGUGAGGAAUUUGGGACCCAAAUAAAUUAACAGACUGACUCAUCGUUUUCCAGAUUGUUGUUUAAAGAACUGAUGCUAGAAUCUCUCAGUUCAUUGCUCUUUCGUAACCAUAUUACGCUGAAUCUAAUAUGACAUUAAUUAUAAGAUGUACCAUCAUUUCACAUAUCGCUAAGAAAGAAAAAAGCACUUUCGAUAAAAUUAUGACAGUUUCAUCAGUGAUAGUCCCACUCAAAUCGUGAAAACAUCACCUCUGUUCCUCAUUGUUUUGAAACCUUUUUUCACGUAUUUGAAGGGAUUGGGCAAAUUUGUCCUUCCUUGAACUGCACUGAAUGGUGUGUGAGGCAAUCCUUUUGCACAAGUAUCAGUAACAAAAUAUAACACAGCUUCCUGUAACUAUAGCUACCUUUCUUUCUCAUGUUUCAUAGAGCACAUGUUUGUUGCCUUGCAGGAAAAUCAGUAAUUGUGGUCAUCCAUCCAAUGAAGAAUAUUUUACUAAGACCAAAUUUAUGUCCUGUCCUUUGUUGCCAUGCAUUUCAGAAAAAAAACAGUAAAUUUUUGUUUCAGUGAUGAAUCAUGCUAUAAACAUUUUUAAGAUAUUUUAAAUAGCAAUUAAACUCAACACAUUGUACCAAAUGCACGUGGCUCCAUUAGGAGGAAGACACUUUGCUUAGUUGUGACCAAGAGCAGGUAAUUGCAACUAUGUAAUACCUGUCCCUUGUGUUUGUCCUCCCAGCAUUUGAAAGACAGUAUCAAUUGUAAGCAGCAUCUUGAUUUUCAGAGAUGUUAAAAUGUAAAAUAAUAAUAAAAAAAAUCUGAGUCUUAGAAUUGGUGAAAUAUAAUACCUCCUUAAGAUUUGCUAGAAGGAUACUUUAGAAUAUUUCUUCUUAAAUAGUAUUUGUGCAGAAGACUGUGAUUAUUUAUCUGUAAAGGCUCUUUAUCUCUUGGUAGCACAUCCAAACAGAGAAACACAUAUGGGACUCUUGAUUACAUGCAUAUUCCAUUAUAUUUUUAUACUUUGCAAAAUCUAAUAGGUUGCUUAGUAAAUGCUCCUUAAUAUACAUGUUCAAAGUUCUGACUUAGUGUUUGGUAGGGUGCUCUUAUCUUAGAAAACUUAUUUACAUGUAAUGAAUGUCAUAAAUGGCCAUGGAUUUUUAAAAUUGCGAGUGGUUUAUUUGCCAUUAUUUUUCAAAAUUGAAAUAUAUUUCAAAUGAACAUAAUUUCAAAAUCAUUAAACCAUUCAAAGUGGUUCCUAGUUAUAUACUGUUUAUCUGAAUCAUGUUGUUAAAUAUUCAGUAAUAAAGGGUUUGAUUAGUUUUUUUUUUUUUAAUUCCUUGGUUUGGAAUGUACUGAGUCUAUAUAGAGGACAGGAAUUUAAUUUCAAAUAAGUUUUCAGACUGUUUCUGGCUCACCAAGUCGUAAUUACUAUUUUGACAGUUAUGUCUCAUAGACAUUUAUUUUAAUUGCAUAUGUUAGCAAUUCAUUUUGGCAUGACAGUCUCUGCCAUUGUUGUGUUGUCGAAUAUGCUUACAGAAACUAUGUCAGAAAUUCAACAUGUGGAGAACAGUAAUUAACCUGAAUCAUCAAUUAGCUUUUGUGAAUACAGAUGUCCUAUGUUGUUUUUUUCUUUUUUAAUUAAGUAAAAUCUCACUAAUCCCGACUGUCUUUCCUCACUCCCUGUUUCCAGCCCUCACAAAGUCGUCUUAAUUUACCUCCUAAAUACGUUUUGAACCUGUCCUCCUUUUGUCUCCACAAUCACUAGUGUAUCUUAACAUUACCUCUCAUCUGGGUUCUGCUUGUAGCCUGCUGUCUCCCCCACAGCCACUCUUGCUCCCUCCAGUUCAUUUUCCACCUUGCAAACAGAGAAAUGUUUAUAAAUGUAGGUCAUACCUGGCCAUACCUACUUGCUUGAAGUGAUUUGGGGGCUACUCCAUAGGAAAAGACUAGCAUCCUUAAGAGAGGCUACAAGACUGUGCACGGUCUAUUCUGCUACCCUCUCUGAGUCUUAUCAUGUGCCCUUGUCUCUGUCUGCUAGGCAGAGUGACCUGCAUCCCGUACCUUGAACGUAGACAUGCUUCCUCCUCCACAAGGCCUUUACACAUGCAUUUGUUUCUCCUGCCUAGAGUAAUCUUUUCACCCUGCCUCACUUUUCUUGGCUGGCUCCCUUAGCUUGCACGUCAGGUCAUUUCAAACAUUACCUUCUCUGACCACCCAGACCAGAAUAGGUCUUUUUGUUGUGUUCUAGUAGAGAAUUGAACAUGUCCUACAUCAUUCUCAUCACAGAGUGUGAACAUAUAUUUUUUGUGUUUAUUUUAAUAGAGUGUCUGUGCUGGACUAUAGUGAGCUUUACAAGGGUACGGAUUCUGUCUGUCUUUUUACCACAACAUUCCCAAGCCAUUGGCACAACAACUGGCAGACAGUGUGUGCAAUAGUUACUUGUAAAAAAAAAAAAAAAU
This is a non-coding RNA of Equus caballus (horse), 13630 nucleotides long. Lineage: Eukaryota; Metazoa; Chordata; Mammalia; Perissodactyla; Equidae. The record is from RefSeq and is a predicted model, not a curated record.